This 72-nucleotide transfer RNA is filed under the name Heterocephalus glaber (naked mole-rat). It matches the Rfam family "tRNA". Rfam says of the family: Transfer RNA (tRNA) molecules are approximately 80 nucleotides in length. The record is from Rfam by way of RNAcentral. Lineage: Eukaryota; Metazoa; Chordata; Mammalia; Rodentia; Bathyergidae.
UGGGGUGUAGCUCAGUGGUAGAGCUCACACUUAGUAUGCACAAAGCCCUAAGUUCAAUCCUCAGCACCACAA